GCCGGGCAUGGUGGCGCAUGCCUGUAAUCCCAGCUACUCGGGAGGCUGAGGCACAGGAAUCGCUUGAACCCAGGAGGUGGAGGUUGCAGUGAGACGAGAUCGUGGUGCCACUGCACUCCAGCCUGGGUGACAGAGUGAGACUCCAUCUCAA
RNAcentral lists this small RNA (151 nucleotides) under Pongo abelii (Sumatran orangutan). RNAcentral describes it as "Metazoan signal recognition particle RNA (ENSPPYG00000035122.1)". The record is from Rfam by way of RNAcentral. Lineage: Eukaryota; Metazoa; Chordata; Mammalia; Primates; Hominidae.